GAGUGAAGUCGUUUCCCCUUUCCUUAGGGUUCCGAUUGAGAAAUUGAAAGCCCCAAAGCCUCCUAUAUCGUGGGCGAGUCCAUCAGAUUAGGGCCUUGCCCUUGGCCAUAUUCUACUUGGUAGGACCCUUUUUAGGUUCAAUGGGCCUUCUUCCUCACUUGCUAGACUUCACAAGCACCCGACCCAUAUCAAACUCAUUGGGCCAAGCACGCUUGGGCUAGUCAAAGCCCAUCCCCCAUCGCAUCCACCACAGCAAACCGCAGCCUAGAAGAGCCCACACCCAUGCCUGUGCUCCC
This 296-nucleotide long non-coding RNA is filed under the name Elaeis guineensis (African oil palm). RNAcentral describes it as "long non-coding RNA (EGUI_LNC010234)". Lineage: Eukaryota; Viridiplantae; Streptophyta; Magnoliopsida; Arecales; Arecaceae. The record is from RNAcentral.